Molecule: ribosomal RNA, 9863 nt
Filed under: Chrysoporthe austroafricana
Lineage: Eukaryota; Fungi; Ascomycota; Sordariomycetes; Diaporthales; Cryphonectriaceae
Source: RNAcentral
AUAGGUGAGUUUGGUGAUGGCUCUGAUUGAACGCUGUCCAAAUGCUUGACACAUGCUAAUCGUACGUUUAAUUUAUAGCUUUUCGGAUAUUAGUAUCUGAGCUCCAUUAUUUUAGGUAGUGGUGUAAUAUUUUAUCCCCUUUGGUCCCCUCCUAACGGAAGGACCAGAAGGGAACAAUAUAUUGAAGGUUUAUUAAAAGUGGUGUACAGGUGAGUGUAAGAUAUUCGGCCGACCUUGAAGAGAGGGAAAAUAAAUACCUCAUAAAUAAAAUAGUUUUUGACAGCUGUUUUUGGGUAAAGGGUGUAAAGCCGCUUUAAGAGGAAAAGGUAUCUGUCGGGAUAGGUAGUAGUUAAGGUAAUGGCUUAACUAGCCAAUAAUUCUCGGAGUCGAAGCUGAAAUGGUUGAUCGACCACAUUGGGAAUGAAAAAAUCCCAAGGCAUAAUUGUACAGCAGUGAGGAAUUUUGGUCAAUGGCCUAACGGCUGAACUGGCAACUUGGAUGAACGGACCGACUCUUACCCAAAGGUUACAUAAUUAUUCUUUUUUAUGUAACUAGUAGGGUAAGAGUGCAGGAGAUCUUUUUUAGGAGUAAAGUUCUAAAUAUAUGUUUGAUAAUGACAAUAUAUAUAUUAUGUCCUGACCAAUUACGUGCCAGCAGUCGCGGUAAUACGUAUGGGACUAGUGUUAUUCAUCUUAAAUAGGUUUAAAGGGUUCCUAGACGGCUAAUGCCACCUUUAAAAGGUAACUAGUUAGCUAGAGUUUUAUGUGAAGAGGUCGUACUUUUGAGUGGAGAGUUUAAAUUCUUUGAUACCUGGAGGACGGAUAAAGGCGAAGGCAACCUCUUAUGUAAAAACUGACGUUGAGGAACGAAGGCAUUGCGUCACGAAAAGGAUGUGCGAUCUGUAGUCUUUGAUUAGAACUGUUGACAAGAUAAUUAUAAAAAGUAGAUAUUAAGGGUAGGGUAAUUAUUGAUAUGUUGUGCAGUACCUUGUAAAUGAAUAUUUUUUUUUAUCUAAAUUCAACAAUGUAUUUCGUUUUACAUUAGUCUAUCUGGAUAUGCAUUAUGGGUAACCGUUUUGUAUAAAGCUCUAGAGAAAGUAUUCUUUAUAGAAUAUUGGCUUUCUUCUAUGGUUAGAGAAAUCGAAUCAAUGUAAUUAAAAUUUUGCUUAUCCUUAAAAGAUACAUUAUAGUGUAUAUAGUGAACUGGCAUUUAACGAGUCCUUGGUUAAAUGAAAACGAACGUGUAGUUAGUAAAAUAAAGUUGGAACCUAAGGAAGAGUUGUUCUAAUCAAGGAAAAGAGUAACACCUAUAAUUUGCAGGAGUGCGUCUUGCAGGGCUUAUUGUAAAGUAAGCUAUCGAUUAGAGGUGAAGGGACAAAGUAAAAAGCGAAUGCGAUUCUAUAAUGGAGUUGAUAGGGAUAUACCCGACUUGAAAGAGUGCUGACUUACUUAUGGAUGUUUUCUGUGCUUAUUUAAAAAUAUACUAAUUAAUUUAAAAAUCCUGAGCUUGUUAUCAUUUCUAAUAAAUAUAUUCAUAUUAUUGGUUCCAGUACACCUUUUAUCUACUACAUAUAAAUUAAAAUUUUAAAGUCCCCUUCGGUCUCGCGGAGACCUGGGUAGCCCCAUAAUUUAUUGAGGGGCUAGAUAUAAAAAUACUAAAUAAAUUAAAAAUCGUCUUUUGAGCAAUUUUUGUUAGCUAUUACAUUUGCAAAAAUGUACCAUUUCACCAACAUAAUCAAGAUAUUUCUACGAAUAUUGCCAUUAAUUUAGAUAAUUUUUAAUCUUGGGUUUAGCCUUCACUGACUCAAUAGGGGAGAUUGUCUAUAAAAAUAUUCUGAUAUUUUUGUUUAUUUAGGCUACACCUUCAUAAAGGUUUUUUCUGAUAUACUAGCCUAAGGACGUAGAUGUAGGCUUUAUGUUAGAUGAAAAGUAGCUAUGGAAUAAACCUUUUCCAUCACGGAAAUAUCCGUAGAUGCUUAUUUUUCUUUGGGAUAUUUUGGAAAUAAUUUGAUUAAAACUAAUAAUAUGAAAAAUUUAGAUAACAAUUGAAUAAGGUGAUUUACAGGUUUUUGCGAUGCGGAAGGUAAUUUCCAAGUGUACCCUAAAAAGCGUGUAUUAAAAUCAGGUGUGGUUAGCAAAUAUAAUGUAGGGUUAGGAUUUCAUCUUUCUUUGCAUAGCCGUGAUUCAGAACUUUUACAUGAUAUACAUGAGAAAUUAAAUCAUGUAGGAGUUUUUUAUGAGUUUAAAAACAGAAAUGAGGCUAGAAUAGCAGUUAACGAUCGUACAGGUUUAAGAGUAAUAGUUGAUGUUUUUAGUUUAUUUCCUUUGGUAACAAUUCACCAGUAUACUAGAUAUUGUUUAUUAAAAGAAUAUUUGGUAAAUGAUAUUAAAGAAUUUAAGACCUUAGAUGAAUUUAAUAUAUUUAAGGAUAAAUGCUUAGAUAAUAUUGAUUUGUCUUCAAAAGUGCUAUCUGGUUUAGAAAGUCAAAUAAAUUCUGGUUUACUUGAUAGUUGAAUAGUUGGACUUAUUAACGGAGAAGGUUGUUUUUAUUUAAAUAAAGGUAGAUGUAAUUUUUUUAUAGAACAUACGGAUUUACAAGCUUUAGAAAUAAUUAAAAAAAGAUUAGCAUUUAGCCCUAAAAUUGUAGCAAGAUCUCCUAGAGCACGUGAUGUAGGAAAAAAUAUAAAACCUACUUAUAUGUUAAUAGUCUCAAGUAAAAAGGAUAUAGAAAGUCUAAUUGAACUUUUGGAUUGUGAGCGUGUUGUUCCUUUAGCAGGUCAUAAGUUAAUGCAGUAUACUGAGUGAAAGCAGACGUGAUUUAAUAAGUAAUUAGUAUAAGUAAUUUGACGCAGUUAAUGUUUGAGCCGUAUGCCAUGAAAGUGGCACGUACGGUUCUGAGGGGGGGAAAGUCUGAGAGGACCUACCUAUCCCAACUAGGGACCCUAGUAGUCUUUGCAGAAAAUGAUGAGUGCCAUAGAUUAGGUUAAUUCUUGGUCUAUAAAUGAAAGUGUAAGCAUUCCACCUCAAGAGUAAUGCGGCAACGCAGGAACUGAAAAAUGAUAAAAAAAAAAUUAUUGGUAAGUUGUGAGGAAUUUGCCUAGUGGGUUUGAAUCCCACGUUAUGAACCGUUUUUACUAUGAAUAUUUUUAUUCAAAAAUUUACAAAUCUUUUAAGGCGCAGCCGUACUUUUUUUAGGCGCAGCCGUAUUUUAAAGCGUUGUAUAAUGGUUUUCUACCUAUUGUGUGCGCAAUGAUCUAAAUUAUUUAAAGAAGUACCAUUACCUACAUCUAAAUCCUUUGGCCGUGUUGGGCAAGGGCUCAUGGGUGUAUCUUCCUCAAGGAAACCAGCCUACUUAGUUAAUGCCGCAAGAAUACACAAUAGAAAGUAUAGCACAGCUAAAGUUAUAAAUAGUCGUAAUAACCUUGAUGCUAGUUUAUCAGAGUUUUAUCAAUGAUUCGUAGGAUUUUCAGAUGGAGAAUCUAGCUUCCAAAUUCAAGUUAGAUAUACAGAUGCUAGUAAAACAAUAGUGAGAGGAAUCAAUUUUUCAUUUACAAUUGCUUUACAUGUUGAUGAUUUAGCUAUACUUCAAUUUAUUAAGGAUAAAUUAGGGAUAGGGAAUAUUGUAGUUAAAAGAAGUGGAGAUGUUUGUGUGUUUACAGUUACUAAUAAGGAAGGGCUUUAUGAGUUAUUAUCUAUUUUUGAUAAAUAUAACCUUAAUACUACUAAAUAUCUUGAUUACCAGGAUUUUAGAAAGGCUUUUCUUUUAUAUCAUGAAAGAGAUGUUAAGGAAUACAAUAAGGAUAAAAAUAAAAUAAAAGAUCAAAUAGUUGAGCUAAAGAAUGGAAUGAAUAGUCAGCGUACUUUUUUUGAUAUGUUUAGGGUUUCACCGCGUGGAAAUAAAUUGGCUAUAACCAAAAGCUGACUAUUAGGGUUUAUAGAAGCUGAAGGGUCAUUUUUCAUUUCCCGAACAGAUAUAGAACCUAGUUUUUCAAUUGAACUUUCUAAAACUCAAUUAUUUUUAUUGGAAGCCAUAAAAGAAUUUUUAAUAGAUAGUUUAGGGUUUGAUAAAUAUUCUAUCCAUAGAUUAAAAAGCUCAACCUUUAACAUAUUUGCUGUUAACGAGCAGAAAGAAAAGCCUAGUGUUAUUUUUAUAGUAAAAAAUAUUCGUGUAUUAAAUAACUAUUUAGUUCCUUAUUUUAAUACUAUGGUGUUUAACUCUAAAAAAGGUAAAGAUUUUUUGGAUUGAAAACUUAUUUGUGAAGCCGUUUACAAGGGUUCUCAUAAAAAGGAGUCUAUUAGAGCGUUAAUACUAAGAUUAUCUUAUACUAUGAAUAGUUACCGUUUGUCAACUAAUUUAGCUAAAGGGUCAAUAGAGUCUCUUACUGAAAUAGAAAGAAAUACGGUGCGUGAAGCUCUACCUACCAUAGAGCACCUGGAAGAUGGAAGAUUACGAGAUGUUGAGACAGGACAAGUCACUAUAAAUAGAUCCUUGUGUGUAUAUGAAGUAAUUAGACCAGACGGAGAAAUUUUAAUUUUAGAUUCAUUUAAUGAUGUAUUAAAUAUAUUAGGUGUUGGUUUUAGAACACUUAAAAGACAUGUAAAUGAAGAUACAUUAGGGGAUGCAACUGAAUUCAGGGGUUAUAUAAUAAGAAGGGUAGCCGUGUUUCUGGAGUAAAUAAUAAAUAAAAAUAUAAGUAGUAAAAAUAAAUGUAUCUAGGUAAGAUUACAUUCGAAUAGAUAAUUAGGUUUAUAGCUAAUGGUGAAAACGGUCAAAGGUAUCCUAACCUAAGACCGUCGGCAGUUGUAAAUGUCGCUACAGACUGGAUCACCGGGGUUAGGCUGAAAUGUCUGUCCAAAUGUACAGUCGAACUCUCUAACGGGAAGUGCUCUAACCCGUAAGGAAGAAGGAUAGCUUAAAAGGCGCCAUUGCUCACAGUGGUAAUUAAUUCCUAAUGAAAUUUAUAAUAAAGCUAGAGUGCUCUCCACCGACUUCAUAUAUUUCUUAAUCAUAUGGGAAUAUAUGAACAAGGGGCCAAGCUGAGUUUUCUUAUAUAUUUUUUGAGAGUCGGAAUAAUAAAGAUUUUUUUUUGUUUCGUGUAUGAAAUAUUCAGUGUGGGUUCGAAUCCUACUCUAUAAGGUGUGUUUUAGUUAUGGCGGCACGCUAAUUUUAAUGAGCAGCCGCCGUAAAAGAAUCCCUGUUUUCAGCCCUUCGGUCCAGACACAGGGCCAUGGACCUGGGUCGAAGGAUGAAUUAAUUAAAAUGAGGAGCUAAGCAAGAUUACAAUCAAAUAGUUCUAUACUUAUAGAAAUUAGGUGAAAACGGUCAAAGGUAACCUCUACUCUAGACCGUCGGCAGUUGUAAAUGUCGCUACAGACUGGUUCACCGGGGUUAGGCUGAAAUGUCUGUCCAAAUGUACAGUCGGAUUCUGUAACGAGUGCAAUAUCGUAAGGAGGAAGGUUUAUCUUUAUCAUGCACGUUAGAUAGCCAGGUACACGCUGGCAAUAACUCCUAGUUAAUCAGGAUUGAAUCACUAGACCGUUUCUGACACCAGCAGUGAAGUAUGUGUGCGACAAGAAGUGAAUAUUAGUAAUGUGGUGAGAUUCCACCAGGUAUUUUCUCUACCUGACACUACCUACACAUGCAAAGCAGUAAUGGUUUGUGUGAAGCUGUAGGGACAAUGUAGCCUGCCUUAAAAGGCAAUGCAGAUAAUAAAAAUCUUCAGGAGCUAGUGUAAGUAAGAUAUGGAAAGCGAAAGUUAAAGUAGCAAUGACGCUUCGUAGUACUAGUUAAAUUGGAAGGUAAUAGGUUUUACAUACUAAUCUAUUAGAGAAACCGAAUUUCCGGCGAAGUAAAGCUACUUUCCUAAGUCUUAUGUUAUUUGUACUAAUAUUUGAACUUGGUAACUCCUUUAUUUUCAGUAAUGAAGAAAUUCAUUAAAGAGGUAACAUAUAAGAUAUAAGUCGAAAUUGUUAUAACGAAUAAAGGAGAGAGGAGAAGUUAAAAAGCAAAUGCUUGACUUAGAUUUCAAUUGAAGUAGAUCUAAGUUAUAGAUAAAGAUGUAAAUUUGGGCGUAAGCUCUUAUUGAUAAAAAGUUUAUGAGGGUAUUAAUUAAAUAAAGUUAAUUAGUUAAAUAUACUCAAGCUACGAUAGAUACCUAGGACGAAAUCUAAUAAAGACAAUAAGCUACGAAGGAUACCUGGACGUGAUCUUAUCAUAAUUAAUUAUGAUUUGUCUUUAAGUUUAUUUUAUUAAUUAGUAGUAAUAAUAUUUUUAAAUAUAUGUUAAAGUCGUGCUUAUUUAGUUUAUUAAAUAAGCAAGUUCUUAUUAAAAACCGACUUUCUUUCUUACUUUAGCUUAGUAUGUUUGCUUUUUAAUAGGUUAUAUUUAGGAAUAUUGUGCUGUGUAUUAGGUUAUAAUAAAGUAUAUUAGGGGUCUUCGCUGUGUAUUAUGUUGUCUUAAUGUUUAUAUAGAAAAACUAAGGGGGUUGUUUAUGAUAUCUUCAAAUUUAAAAAAUCAAAAAAAUAAAAAUUAUGUAGUUCCUGAGGUUGUCCAUUCUCCUGAAAAUAAUAAGAAAGAAUUUAAUUUAAAUCCGUGAUUUAUCACGGGGUUUGUUGAUGCGGAAGGUAGUUUUGCAGUAAAUAUUAUUAAAGAUGCUGGAAAAAGUUUAGGUUAUUUUGUUUUAGUUUAUUUUGAAAUAGCUGUUAAUGAAAAAGAUCGAGAUAUUUUAGUUGCAAUGCAAAAUUAUUUUGGUGCAGGUAAUAUAUUUUAUAAUUCUUUUGAUAACACCUGUAAAUUCAAAGUGUCAAGUUUAGAUGCUUUGAGUAAUGUAAUUAUUCCACACUUUAAACAAUAUUUUUUGUUAACUAAGAAACGAAGUGAUUUUGAAUUAUUUAGUCGUGUUGUAGAAAUAAUGGUAGGUGGAGAUCACCUAAAUCUUAAAGGUUUACAAGAAAUAGUUAAUCUUAAGGCUUCAUUAAAUUUAGGUUUGAGCGAUAAGUUAAAAGCUUAUUUUCCUGAAGCUUUACCUGCAGUUAGACCUGUUUUUAAUGUAUCAAGUAUCCCAGAUCCUCAUUGAUUAGCCGGAUUUGCUGAAGGUGAAUCUUGUUUUUAUAUUAGUAUUUAUAAAUCAGUUAAAUCUAAAUUAGGUUUAGCUGUACAAUUAGUAUUUAGAAUAACUCAACAUUCUAGAGAUAAAGAGUUAUUAAAGGUUAUAGCUCAAUUUUUAGAAUGUGGGAGAGUUGAGGAACGUUCAAGUGGGGGUGCUUGUGAUUUAGCAAUUAAUUCUAUUAAAGACUUUAAAAAUAAAGUUAUUCCUUUUUUUAGUAAAUAUCCUCUUCUUGGUACAAAAAGUUUAAAUUAUAUUGAUUUUGUAAAAGUUUUUGAGUUAAUGGAUACAAGAAAACAUUUAACAGAAGAAGGCUUAGCUACUAUAAAACAAAUUAGAGCUUGUAUGAAUACAGCUAGAAUUUAAAAUUGUAUCACAGGACUUAUUUCAUAAGCUAGUUCUUUAAUAAGGCUACGCUGACGCAAUAUGAGCUAGCUUAGAAAUAGUAAUGUGUUAUAUUUAGUAUCUAAUAAGUUUGAUGAGUUUGUGCCAUCAAUAAUCAAAAUUUACAUUUAUUAAGAUGAAAUUAUAUCUUAAUAUAGCUGACUUAACAUUCGGCAUAAAUUGGCAAAGAGGAUUAUUAAGUAUGUUAAGAUUUAAUCUUUUUUGCUUGGGGCGAUGGCUCCUGUAGUAAAUUUAUGUUUGAGCCGUAUGCGAUGAAAGUCGCACGUACGGUUCUUAGAGGGGGAAAGUUCGAGAGGACCUACCUAUCUCAACUGUUUAAUUCGAUGACCCACGAAAAAUCUUACCACAAUUUGAAUAGAAUAGAGUAAUAAAAACCCAAGAGUUUACCAAAUAUUAUUUUUUUAGUAAGGAUGAUAUCUAAAGUGUUCGUUCAUAGUUAUUAGAAAGGGAAUAUUUGAUCCUUGGAUGUUUUAGAAAGUUUAUUCAUACAAGUGUUGCACGGCUGUUUCCAGUUAAUGUUGUGAAACUGUGGCAAAAGCCAUGGAAUUAACGUAAACCUGAGCUUUAUUUGUGAAUAUAUUAUUUUGAUAAAGCUACAUCAUCUGCUAUAUUGGAUUUGAUAACAGGGACUAAGACAAGUCAUCAUGGCCUGCUGGAUGAAUUAGGAAUUCAUCUUUGUGGGUGAGACUAUCAAACUCCGGGAACAUCCUAAAACUUUUGGUACCAAACCAUAUAUGAAAAUAUAUUGGUGGAUGAACUAAUUAUUCAUGUACGGUAAUAAAUCAAAAGAUAAUCGAAAGAGCAAUGGAUUAUCGCGGAUCUAAAUCAAUUAUAAAUUAUAAACCCGCAAGCCAAAAUUUUAUAGUUGUAAAAGAGCAACGAGUAGACGGUAGUUGAUGCAAUAAUAAUUUAUUGCGUUUAAGGUGUAUUCUAAUGGGUUUCGAAAGAAAUUAUCAAGUCAAAAUCCUUUCUAACCAAAUAAAUAAUUUAAGAAGGUAUACUUCAAUCACAACCCACAAGCCAACGAAUACUUCUUCUAUUUUUAAUCCUUGAUUUAUAACAGGAUUUUCUGAUGCGGAAUGUUCUUUUUCUAUAUUAAUUCAGGCUAAUAGUAAGUAUAGUACAGGUUGAAGAAUUAAACCUGUAUUUGCUAUUGGUCUUCAUAAAAAAGAUCUAGAGCUAUUAAAAGGUAUUCAAUCUUAUUUAGGUGUAGGAAAAAUUCAUAUUCACGGUAAAGAUUCUAUACAGUUUCGUGUAGAUUCUCCUAAAGAAUUAGAAGUGAUUAUAAACCACUUUGAAAAUUAUCCACUGGUAACUGCUAAAUGAGCUGAUUAUACUUUAUUUAAGAAAGCUUUGGAUAUAAUUCUACUUAAAGAACAUUUAUCUCAAAAAGGUUUAUUGAAAUUAGUAGGUAUUAAAGCUUCACUUAAUUUAGGUCUUAAUGGUUCUUUAAAAGAAGCCUUUCCUAAUUGAGAAGAGUUACAAAUAGAUAGACCUAGUUAUGUUUUUAAGGGUAUUCUUGAUCCUAAUUGGAUAGCGGGAUUUGCUAGUGGUGAUAGUAGCUUUAAUGUAAAAAUAAGUAACUCUCCUACUAGUUUAUUAGAUAAAAGAGUUCAAUUAAGAUUUGGAAUAGGUUUAAAUAUUAGAGAAAAGGCUUUAAUUCAAUAUUUAGUUGCUUACUUUGAUUUGAGUGCUAAUUUAAAAAAUAUUUAUUUUAAUGUAAAUUCUGCUAGAUUUGAAGUUGUUAAAUUUUCAGAUAUAACAGAUAAAAUAAUUCCUUUUUUUGAUAAUUAUUUAAUACAAGGUAAAAAAAAUUUAGAUUAUAUUUAUUUCAAAAAGGUAGCUGAUAUUAUUAAAAGUAAAAAUCAUUUAACAUCAGAAGGUUUUCAGGAAAUUUUGGAUAUUAAAGCUAGAAUGAAUAAAUAAUUAUUAGGAUUGAGUAUAUUUAAUUAUUUUAUUUGUUUGUACGAUAAAUUUGAUCGCUAUGUAAUAUUGUGGGCUAAAGACGUGCCACAUAUUCCUUAACAAAGAGAUGCGAAAUAGCGAUAUUGAGCUAAUCUCAAAAAAGAGGGUAAAAAAUAUAUGGAUUGUAGCCUGAAACUCGGCUGCAUGAAUAAGAAAUUGCUAGUAAUCGUGAAUCACCAUGUCACGGUGAAUAAAACCUUGGAUUGGUACUAACCACUCGUCACAUGCUGAAAGGAGUAUGCGCAAUAAGUUUGCUUUCUUAUUUUAAAUCCAUAGUAAUGAUAGGAUUACAUUUUUUUAAUAGGAUUCUUCGUAUGCGUGACUCUAAUUAGUGUUAAGUCGAAAUAUGGUUCGGGUAGUGGAAGUUGCCCGGGGUUGAUUAACCAUU